RNAcentral lists this ribosomal RNA (480 nucleotides) under uncultured bacterium. RNAcentral's name for it is "partial 16S ribosomal RNA". It matches the Rfam family "Bacterial small subunit ribosomal RNA", at positions 28 to 523 of the family's 1533-position model. The record is from RNAcentral.
GACGAACGCUGGCGGCGUGCCUAACACAUGCAAGUCGAGCGAAUGAAGUUCCUUCGGGAAUGGAUUUAGCGGCGGACGGGUGAGUAACACGUGGGCAACCUGCCUCAUAGAGAGGAAUAGCCUUCCGAAAGGGAGAUUAAUACCGCAUAAGAUUGUAGUACCGCAUGAUACAGCAAUUAAAGGAGCAGUCCGCUAUGAGAUGGGCCCGCGGCGCAUUAGCUAGUUGGUGAGGUAACGGCUCACCAAGGCGACGAUGCGUAGCCGACCUGAGAGGGUGAUCGGCCACAUUGGGACUGAGACACGGCCCAGACUCCUACGGGAGGCAGCAGUGGGGAAUAUUGCACAAUGGGGGAAACCCUGAUGCAGCAACGCCGCGUGAGUGAUGACGGCCUUCGGGUUGUAAAGCUCUGUCUUCAGGGACGAUAAUGACGGUACCUGGGGAGGAAGCCACGGCUAACUACGUGCCAGCCGCCGCAGUAA